GAUUCGUGCCGGUUGGUUGGUAGUGCCCUCCCUCUCCGCCCGCCUCCUCGAAUUCCGGCGUUGCCGCCGCAAACUUCCGGGGCCGGGCGCCGGAUCUUCGCGCACACGAUUUGCCCGGAGAUGGCCGCCCGGGGUGCGUGCGGCGAGUGCCGCAGAAGGCAGUUGAAUUCGACUUGCUGCAGCGUGGGCCUUCUCCGUCGCGGCACCCGGCUCCGGCGCCGUGCCCACGACGAUGACCACAUCAGCGCCCUUCCCGACGACCUCCUGCUCCAGAUCCUCGGCUGUAUCGGCACUAAAGAUAAUAUCUACUAAAUAUUUGAUUGGCACUAUGUUUUUCUAUGCAAUGUUUUUUGAUAAUUGGUAUUGCGCUUUAAUUAGAUGGAUUUUUUUUGCGAUCUUAAUUAGAUGGAUCUUAUAACAAGCUAAAACUACACUAUUUGUGGGACAACAUUUGAAAACCAAAAACUACAUUUAUUUUGGGACGGAGGGAGUAUUAUAUACAAACCUAUGGUCCCAGUUCAACAAAGUCCAACAAGGAAGCCCAAAAUACAAAAGAAUCGCUCUCUCUCUCUCUGCUUGCGGCUCGCCCCCGUCCCCCUGGCUUCAUGUCCGCCCCAAUGCGCCUCCGACCCUCGGCUCUCGGCCAUUGGCCCUCCGCCUGUCCCCAGACCGGCGUCCGGCAGUUCGUCUCCCACCUCCCGACCUCCCCAUCUCGGCAACGGCAACUCCGCCAGUGGCAGACCGCAGCUGCCUCGCCGCCCUAGUGCCAACGCCCCAGCACCAGCACGAAGGAGGCCGCCACUGGUUAUUAUUAUGGAUUUGUUAUGGCCAGUAUAACUUAAUCGUUCAUUAUAUUGUGUAUUAACUUCGAUUUUUUGCUUUGAUUUUUUUUUAUAUUUGGCAUACCCAGCCGCAAAUUCCUGGCUCCGCCACUGGGAGCCUGGAAUUAAAAACGCCAGAGCACCUUGAACACACACUGGUCACGAACAGCAGGGAAAAUACACGUUCGCAGCCACAGCACUGCUCUCAUGGCGACAUCCUCUCGCUGGACAUAGCAGCUGCUGAUGAUUUGGGUGAUGUUGCCUGGACCUUUGAGAAAGAGAUUUCCCGAAUUCCAGUGAGAAACCUUUCUGUUUUAGAGCUGAAAAUUGCAACAAGAGGGCAUUUUUAUGGAGCAAUGGUGCUGGAUCUACUUCGACUUUGCACCUCUAUACAAAAACUUAAGGUAGAAUUAAAUCGAUAUGAGGUGAGAAAAGAAUGCUCCGUAAAUUAUUGUAAUUGUGAUCUGCCUAACAACUGGAAAGAUCAAAUUAUAUCCCUGACUGCUCUUAAAGAAGUAGAAAUUGAUGGCUACGAAGGAGAAGAGCAUGAAGUUGGUUUAUUGAAAGUAUUGUUGAUAUGUGCUGAAAUGCUUGAAAGAGUGACCAUCAGCUUGUCUAGAAAUGUCCCACGAAGUUGCAGUGCAUACUUGGAACUCCCUGGCAUUUUAAAGGCACAUCCUUCAGUGAAAUUCAAUAUUUAUCACUGGUGUGGUGACCAGGUCUUGUUUGAAUGAUUAGAGUGCUCCUUAACGUAACAAGGAACACUGAAGGUGAUUUAGUUUCGCCAGACUUCAACCAGCGUACUGGUUCAUCGUUGGAUGUGGACCAUCCAUUUUAAAUCGGAGGACUGCAAUUUGAUUCAAGUUAUCUAGCACGCUUAAGUGUGUUUUUCUGUAAUAGCUAUAAGCAGUGUGUUUACCACUGAUGACCCCCAGUCUGUAUAGAGGACUGGAGGGAGCAGGUGGGGGAGGUAUCGUGAAGAACUCAAUCACAAAACCUAGGGCUUUAGGAGUAGCUGUGGGACUCGUCGUCUCGCUGGCGGCAGCCGGCUGUAUCAAGUAUUCUCUGAACUUGACCUCGAUUCAGUUUACCUGCAGUUAUCCGAUCCAGAUCUACUAUCUCGUUCUCG
Long non-coding RNA from Panicum virgatum (switchgrass), 1950 nucleotides. RefSeq lists it as uncharacterized. The transcript is spliced from 4 exons. The record is from RefSeq and is a predicted model, not a curated record. NCBI's taxonomy places the organism in Eukaryota, Viridiplantae, Streptophyta, Magnoliopsida, Poales, Poaceae.